This 804-nucleotide long non-coding RNA is filed under the name Nicotiana tabacum (common tobacco). RNAcentral describes it as "long non-coding RNA (NTAB_LNC001572)". Lineage: Eukaryota; Viridiplantae; Streptophyta; Magnoliopsida; Solanales; Solanaceae. The record is from RNAcentral.
AUUUCUAGGAUCAGACUCUCCUUUACAAACAAAAGUUCCAUCAGCACUGAAAUAGUUACAACCCUUCGUGCCUGCGCAACAGUUGGUGCAUAUUUGAUUGUCCUUCUUUUCUUCUGAAAGUGGGCAAAGUCCGUAGGCAAUUCUUGGAUCACAAUUUAGGGGACAAACUUUUGGAUUUCUAGGAUCAGACUCUCCUUUACAAACAAAAGUUCCAUCAGCACUGAAGUAGUUACAACCCUUCUUACCUGCGCAACAGUUGGUGCAUAUUCGAUUAUCCUUCUUUUCUUCUGAAAGUGGACAAAGUCCAUAGGCAAUUCUUGGAUCACAAUUUCGGGGACAAGCUUUUGGAUUUCUAGGAUCAGACUCUCCUUUACAAACAAAAGUUCCAUUAGCACUGAAGUAGUUACAACCCUUCGUGCCUGCGCAACAGUUGGUGCAUAUUUGAUUGUCCUUCUUUUCUUCUGAAAGUGGGCAAAGUCCAUAUGCAAUUCUUGGAUCACAAUUUAGGGGACAAACUUUUGGAUUUCUAGGAUCAGACUCUCCUUUACAAACAAAAGUUCCAUCAGCACUGAAGUAGUUACAACCCUUCGUGCCUGCGCAACAGUUGAUGCAUAUUCGAUUGUCCUUUUCUUUUGAAAGUGGGCAAAGUCCAUAGGCAAUUCUUGGAUCACAAUUUCGGGGACAAGCUUUUGGAUUUCUAGGAUCAGAUUCUCCUUUACAAAUAAAAGUUCCAUCAGUACUGAAGUAGUUACAACCCUUCGUGCCUGCACAACAAUUGGUGCAUAUUUGAUUGUUCUUCUUUUC